AUGGAGAGAGGCGGCGCAGAGGCGGUUGCAUCGUCGACGGCUCCCCAGAGCAGAGUACCCUUGGGCGCCGACGGGCGUCCCCUCGACGGCGUCGUGCGUGCUGAACUGCUUUGGAAAUUGAAGCAUGGCGAUGGAUCCAUCUACAGAAGCGACGGUUAUUGGGCUAAAGUUUACCGUCUCUAUGAUACCAGUGAGACUUGUCUGGAGCCAAUGAUGACUGUGCCUUAUGACAGUUGCAUGCCUAACUGGAGGGUCUGUGGAAGGCAUUCAUAUUGCGCCAUGAUGCAGAUAUUCUCGCUGAAGCUAGCUAACACAUCGUAUGUUGGUGACCCAGUUGAGUUUUAUGGCUACGUGGCUGUCAGAGAUCUGUUGAACCCUAUGCGCAACUAUGCCUUCAACCGUACAAGAGAUGAUCCUUUCAUUGUGGGGCAUUAUGGCCUCAUACAGAUGUCUGGCCCUAAGAGAGGCAUCAGAAUGCACGCUACUGUGGUAAUUGAGUUUGACCUGAAGAUUAAGACAGGAGGAGAAGAAGGUGGUGAUCUAGAGCUCAUUGAUGGUGUUGCCCAAUUCAGCGACAGAGGCACAAGCCACGCUAGGGUAAUCACAUGA
RNAcentral lists this ribosomal RNA (609 nucleotides) under Triticum aestivum (bread wheat). RNAcentral's name for it is "partial small subunit ribosomal RNA". The record is from RNAcentral. Lineage: Eukaryota; Viridiplantae; Streptophyta; Magnoliopsida; Poales; Poaceae.